Molecule: ribosomal RNA, 567 nt
Filed under: Triticum aestivum (bread wheat)
Lineage: Eukaryota; Viridiplantae; Streptophyta; Magnoliopsida; Poales; Poaceae
Description: partial small subunit ribosomal RNA
Source: RNAcentral
GAGGGUAAGAGAAAGCCUCAUUGGGUCUCUUGGCAGACGAUGACACAACCAAAAAAGAAUGGAGGACUUGGUUUUAGAGAUCUUGAGCUCUUCAACCUUGCGUUAUUAGCAUGUCAGGCCUGGAGGCUGUUGACUAUGCCUGACUCUCUAUGUGCCAAGCUACUGAAGGCAAUUUGCUUUCUGGAGGUAAGCAUUAUGGAUGCAGACGUGAGCUCUCACCAUUCGCAGGUUUGGCGGCCGUUGAUCGAGGGAAGGGACGUGCUAGCUCAUGGCCUGAUCCGAAGGAUUGGAGACGGGAGUUCCGCAGAGGUUUGGACGCAUAACUGGAUUCCCAGGGAUACUUCUAUGAAACCUAUAGCCUGCUUGAGGCCGAACCCACCAAUUCUAGUGUCGGAGUUGAUUGAUGCUGCAAAUGUAGCGUGGCGAUCUAAUCUUCUACACCAGUAUUUCCUACCAAUCGAUAUUCAGUCCAUCACUAAUAUACCACUAUGCAUGAUGCCUAUGGCAGAUUUUUGGGCUUGGCAGUUUGAGAAGAAGGGCUCCUUUUCGGUAAGACCAGCUUACUGA